GCGUGCCUAACACAUGCAAGUCGAACGAGAAAGCUCCUUCGGGAGUUAGUAGAGUGGCGCACGGGUGAGUAACACGUGGAUAAUCUGCCUGAUAAUCUGGGAUAACAUUUCGAAAGGGAUGCUAAUACCGGAUAAGCCCACAGCCUCUUCGGAGGCAGCGGGAAAAGAUGGCCUCUUCUUGAAAGCUAUUGUUAUCAGAUGAGUCCGCGGUCCAUUAGCUAGUUGGUAGGGUAAUGGCCUACCAAGGCAACGAUGGAUAGCUGGUUUGAGAGAAUGAUCAGCCACACUGGAACUGAGACACGGUCCAGACUCCUACGGGAGGCAGCAGUGGGGAAUUUUGCGCAAUGGGGGAAACCCUGACGCAGCAACGCCGCGUGAGUGAUGAAGGUUUUCGGAUCGUAAAGCUCUGUCAAGAGGGAAGAAACCUCCAAUGGUUAAUAUCUGUUGGAAUUGACGGUACCUCUAGAGGAAGCACCGGCUAACUCCGUGCCAGCAGCCGCGGUAAUACGGAGGGUGCAAGCGUUGUUCGGAAUUAUUGGGCGUAAAGCGCGUGUAGGCGGUUUGUUAAGUCUGAUGUGAAAGCCCCGGGCUCAACCUGGGAAGUGCAUUGGAAACUGGCAAACUUGAGUACGGGAGAGGGAAGUGGAAUUUCGAGUGUAGGGGGUGAAAUCCGUAGAUAUUCGAAGGAACACCAGUGGCGAAGGCGGCUUCCUGGACCGAUACUGACGCUGAGACGCGAAAGCGUGGGGAGCAAACAGGAUUAGAUACCCUGUAGUCCACGCCGUAAACGAUGGGUACUAGGUGUUGCGGGUAUUGACCCCUGCAGUGCCGAAGCUAACGCAUUAAGUACCCCGCCUGGGGA
This 862-nucleotide ribosomal RNA is filed under the name uncultured bacterium. Its description in RNAcentral is "bacterial SSU rRNA". It matches the Rfam family "Bacterial small subunit ribosomal RNA", at positions 42 to 879 of the family's 1533-position model. The record is from RNAcentral.